This 397-nucleotide ribosomal RNA is filed under the name uncultured bacterium. RNAcentral describes it as "partial 16S ribosomal RNA". It matches the Rfam family "Bacterial small subunit ribosomal RNA", at positions 523 to 918 of the family's 1533-position model. The record is from RNAcentral.
AUACGUAGGGGGCGAGCGUUGUCCGGAAUGAUUGGGCGUAAAGGGCGCGUAGGCGGCCCGGUAAGUCUGGAGUGAAAGUCCUGCUUUCAAGGUGGGAAUUGCUUUGGAUACUGCCGCGCUUGAGUGCAGGAGAGGUUAUCGGAAUUCCCGGUGUAGCGGUGAAAUGCGUAGAGAUCGGGAGGAACACCAGUGGCGAAGGCGACUUACUGGACUGUAACUGACGCUGAGGCGCGAAAGUGUGGGGAGCAAACAGGAUUAGAUACCCUGGUAGUCCACACUGUAAACGAUGAAUGCUAGGUGUAGGGGGUAUCGACCCCUUCUGUGCCGCAGUCAACACAAUAAGCAUUCCGCCUGGGGAGUACGGCCGCAAGGUUGAAACUCAAAUGAAUUGGCGGGG